GCCGUCGUAGCUCAGCAGGUAGAGCAACGCCAUGGUAAGGCGUAGGUCGUCAGUUCGACUCUGAUCGUCGGCUCCA
This 76-nucleotide transfer RNA is filed under the name Clostridia bacterium. RNAcentral's name for it is "tRNA-Thr". It matches the Rfam family "tRNA". From Rfam's summary of the family: Transfer RNA (tRNA) molecules are approximately 80 nucleotides in length. The record is from RNAcentral. Lineage: Bacteria; Bacillati; Bacillota; Clostridia.